AACGCACAUGGCGCCUUCCAGUAUCCUGGGAGGCAUGCCUGUCCGAGCGUCGUUUCAACCCUCGAGCCCCAGCGGUUUGGUGUUGGGCGUCGGCCGUCCUCUGCGGCGGCCGUGCCCCAAAUACAGUGGCGGACUCGCUGUUGCCUCCUCUGCGUAGUAAUUACACCUCGCACCGGAUAGACACGAAGUCCACGCCGUAAAACAACCCAAUUUCUGAAUGUUGACCUCGGAUCAGGUAGGAAUACCCGCUGAACUUAA
RNAcentral lists this unclassified non-coding RNA (258 nucleotides) under uncultured Nectriaceae. Its description in RNAcentral is "sequence contains ITS2". Lineage: Eukaryota; Fungi; Ascomycota; Sordariomycetes; Hypocreales; Nectriaceae. The record is from RNAcentral.